GAUGAACGCUGGCGGCGUGCCUAAUACAUGCAAGUCGAGCGAACAGAUAAGGAGCUUGCUCCUUUGACGUUAGCGGCGGACGGGUGAGUAACACGUGGGUAACCUACCUAUAAGACUGGGAUAACUUCGGGAAACCGGAGCUAAUACCGGAUAACAUUUGGAACCGCAUGGUUCUAAAGUGAAAGAUGGUUUUGCUAUCACUUAUAGAUGGACCCGCGCCGUAUUAGCUAGUUGGUAAGGUAACGGCUUACCAAGGCAACGAUACGUAGCCGACCUGGGAGGGUGAUCGGCCACACUGGAACUGAGACACGGUCCAGACUCCUACGGGAGGCAGCAGUAGGGAAUCUUCCGCAAUGGGCGAAAGCCUGACGGAGCAACGCCGCGUGAGUGAUGAAGGGUUUCGGCUCGUAAAACUCUGUUAUUAGGGAAGAACAAACGUGUAAGUAACUGUGCACGUCUUGACGGUACCUAAUCAGAAAGCCACGGCUAACUACGUG
This 497-nucleotide ribosomal RNA is filed under the name uncultured bacterium. RNAcentral describes it as "partial 16S ribosomal RNA". It matches the Rfam family "Bacterial small subunit ribosomal RNA", at positions 28 to 507 of the family's 1533-position model. The record is from RNAcentral.